CUUGACGGGGCUCUGAGGCGAUUCUCCGUCUGGGCGAACGCUCUACAGCAUCGCCUAAUCAACGAGAUCUCGGUUGCCAGUGGCAAUAAAUCGGCGAGGCUGCCUCUUACACAUCUAGCUGUCGAUUAUCUGCGGUCGUAUCAAGACCGAGUCGCGGCGGUUGGCAGUUCCAUCAAACCGACCACAGGGAUUAAACACACUAGGGAAUAUUUCAGCUAAACGGACACGAAACCUGGAAAAAACCAUACAUACGAAAACAUAACGUGUUUAAAUCGUGCAAAUCCUUUCCGUCCAGAUAGCCUAGACUCAAGCUGACUUGAAUGAAUCACUUAGGACUUUGUAGCUAGUCUACGGAUAAUACUAGCGAUCCUCAGCGAGCCGUUAUCGUGAGAGGUAAUGCUCUCAGGGAUGAUCUCAAUACGCAUGCGUAGUCGUGCACAUAUGGCUCUUAAAUGACGGCCGCUUAUAUUAUACUGCAUUAAUACUGCACUGAUAUUCGAGAGUUUCAAAUCGUUUUUGAAUGAGUUAUGCUAAAUUAGGAAUGUCUUGUGCCAUUUUUCAAAGAUUUGGAGGUCAUCUAAAUACGAAUUUGGGAUUGACAUGUCGGGUGCACGGAGGUGUCGAAAUAUUCGGAGACUUUCCACGUAUGCAAAUGGGGGAAAGGAGAAGGCCGGUCCCAGGCAGAAAACCUAUCUAGAAAUAGAAAAAAAAAAUACACCCACAUUUAGAAAUUAAAAAGAAAUCUAAAUUAAUCUAGAGCGCUAAAGAAACUCAAGCAAACUUUUAAAAGCAGUAAAAGGUAUGUGCAAUAACUAAUUCUUUGUUUAUACACAUAGUACUCGCCAUCAAUAGCGAAAAGCACAGAGGAAAACAAAGAAACGAAACGAUCGAAUUGCGCAAUUAAAGCCAGAAGCAGCUUGAGAACGACUUCACCUUACCUAGCAACGAUUAAGUGUAUCUCCGCGCAUUUCAGGGCCAUCUGGGUUGCUUUCCCCGAUAAUAAAUGUAAAGGAGCCUCGUCUCCACAGCGAAGUAUUUGGAAAAAGGCACUUAGAGCUUGGAUGAUAAACUAUUGUGUCUGCGUUUUAAUAAAAACAGAAUGCGCAGACA
This is a long non-coding RNA of Nematostella vectensis (starlet sea anemone), 1110 nucleotides long. RefSeq lists it as uncharacterized. NCBI's taxonomy places the organism in Eukaryota, Metazoa, Cnidaria, Anthozoa, Actiniaria, Edwardsiidae. The transcript is spliced from 2 exons. The record is from RefSeq and is a predicted model, not a curated record.